RNAcentral lists this transfer RNA (70 nucleotides) under Camelus bactrianus (Bactrian camel). It matches the Rfam family "tRNA". From Rfam's summary of the family: Transfer RNA (tRNA) molecules are approximately 80 nucleotides in length. Their secondary structure includes four short double-helical elements and three loops (D, anti-codon, and T loops). RNAcentral also lists the same sequence under 2 other names. Lineage: Eukaryota; Metazoa; Chordata; Mammalia; Artiodactyla; Camelidae. The record is from Rfam by way of RNAcentral.
GGGUAUAGCCCAGUGGUAGAGUUCAUGCUUAGCAUGCACAAGGUCCUGGGUUCAAUCCCCAGUACUUCCA